CAGCGUCUCGAGCAGGCGCUCGCGCUCCGUGAGCAUGGUGACCAUGAGGCGCUCCAGCUCGCCACCCGCCUCGUCCGGGCCCAGGGCCGAGCCCCGCCGGCCAUCCUCGCUGAUGGUGGGCAUCACCUCGCACAUCAUGGCGGCGGUGCCGGCCUGCGGGUGCGGGAAAGGGGCACGGACCAGAAAGCAGCCCCAUCAGGGUACAGGCAAACGACCGGAGCACUGCAACUCGGAUACUCUCUGGGGGAAACUGAGGUGCGCGGAUCCAGGCACUGCACCGCAGAAACUGAGACCCAGCCACUCUGAUCAUGACAGGGAAACUGAGGCACCGACAACGGCAUCCACCAAGACACCUAAGGGUUAGCCAGCAAGUGCUGCCAGUGGAAACAGACCUGUCCAUUGUAAUCCCAGCACAGAAUAAAUCGAAGCCUUUGCUGCCAGGAAAACAGCCCUGGCCACGUGGAUGAGAGUAUUUAGGGAGACUGAGGCCGGCCUCAACAGGCAGACAACAAACCUGGUCCGCUGAGAAACUGACGCAGGGUGACCCAGAUGUCGCCCAAGCGAAUGUGGAAGAAUUGGUCUCUACGUAUUCUGACUUCACUGAGAAUCCCAAGUACCCACCCCACCCCGCCCAGGUGGCAAAGAAGACUGAGCCAGAACCGCCCCUUCAGAAAGCAACAGGGCUGGGGCCACGGAACGAGGAGCAGCAGCAUAACCGGUUUGAGAGUGGAUAAUUCUCAGCCCCGCCCAAUUUGCAGAUUGCACCCCAAUCCUGGAACUGGGGCCUUGGACUCCCUGGAGGAGAGGAGGACUCUGAGGAGCUCUGGGACCUGGGAGGGAGGUGGCGCAUCUGAGAAUCCAGACCCCCGAAUCCCAGCAGUGAGAGACGAGAUUCAGGAAAACGUUUUUAGAGAGCAGGCCAGUGUAGGCCAAAAAACCAGUAUGACAUUUCUAACCCAUGUUUUCGGGAGGCUGCUCUAGUACCUCAGAUUCAUUUCGGGGUCAGAACACAGGGCUGGGCAUAGAUCUAGAGAGCAGAUGUCGUGAAGACAUGCCUGGAUGCAGAAAGAACCUGUGCUUCCACGUUCACCACGUGUGGUGGGGUGAGAUCCACACACUAGGCUAAGUAAAGAGUCACAAUCUAGAGCCGAGGUUGAGAACUUAGAACCAGCCAAAAGCAGCCCCAUAAUUUAGAGUGUGUCAGUCAUCCCAGAACCCCAAAUACAGAGAGGAGCAUCAUGGUACCAAAAACCGUGGUACCAAGGAACAAACCAAAUGCAACACAUAGCAAGAAUAAUAAUGUAAUCUAGAACUCAGCACGCACUUGGGACCAAGGGAUUAACACAGAAUAUAGCACAGGUCACAUGCUUGGUUUGGUCAGAAGACAAACUCAGUGCUAGAGCUUUCCAACUUGGGCCUGGCAGAAUGGCUCCUGCAAAGAACGGUGGCAAAAAGAAGGGACAUUCUGUCAUCAACUAGGUGGUGACCCGAGAAUACACCAUCAACAUUCACAAGUGCAUCCAUGGAGUGGGCUUCAAGAACCGUGUCCCUAGGGCACUUAAGGAGAUUUGUAAAUUUGCUAUGAAGGAAAUGGGGAUUCCAGAUGUGCACAUUGAUACCAGGCUCAACAGGGGCUGGGGAUUUAGCUCAGCGGUUCUGCACCUGCCUCGCAAGUGCAAAGACCCCAGUUCGAUCCCAGGCACCAAAAAAAAAAAAAAAAAAAAGAAUGCCAGGCUCAACAAAGCUGUCUGAACUAAAGGAAUAAGGAACGUCCCAUAUCUUAUCUGUAUACUAUUGUCCAGAAAACGUAAUUCACCAAAUAAGCUCUAUACUUUGCUAACCUACAUCCCUGUUAUCCCUGUUAUAAUCUUCAAAAAUCUCCAGUGAAUGUGGAUGAGAACUUUCAAAUAAAGUUACAAAACUAUAAUUUAAAAAAACCCUCAGUGGUAGAGCACUUGCCUAGCAUGUGCCUGCCCCUGAGUCCCUGGGGGGGAGGGGUACAAGACAAAGUAACCAAGAUUAAUUACUGAUAGAAUCAGAAAACAAAAGAUGAGGGUGGGGAUUUAGCUCGGUGGCUCCGCGCCUGCCUCCUAAUUGCAAGGUCCUGAGUUUGGUCCCUGGUACCAAAAAAACCCACAAAAGACAAGCUCUGGAACUGGGGUUUAGCUCAGUGGAACAGCACUUGCCUAGCAUGUCCAAGGCCAUAGGUUCAAUCCCUCACACUAAAAAAAAAAAACCCUAUUCUAGAGUUCAGAACAUCCCCCAUAGGGAUGAAGAAAAACAGACAGUAACAAGGAGUUUGCCUGGAACUUGGAAGUACAGAAGUAGCUGGAGGAAAGCGCAAAAGGAUGGAGAUGAGAUUAAACAAAAAUUAAGACUUUCCUGAGAGCCAGGCAUGGUGGUGCAUGCCUCAGGAGGCUGAGGUAGGAGGAUCACAGGUUCAAGGCCACCCUGAACUACAUAGCAAGACCCUGUCUUUAGAAACCAAAACAAAACAAAAAAAUAAUUUCCUGAGCUCAAGACUGAACUGGCAAGGGAGAAGUGUGUUCUGGAAAUGGGAAUAUUCUAAGCUGAAGACUCUGCAGGAGGAGAGAGCCUAGAACAUGCUUAGGAUGCCAAAGUGGCAGAUGGAGGAGAAGUCCACAGUGCGCCAGGCAACAAGUUCUACACUAAGGCCGAAGUAGAAAAAACACAGACAAAGGAGGCAGCCACGGAUGGGCCUAGAACCUAGAACCUGAGGAAGAAAAAUGUAAUGUAGAACACCUUGUGGGCAAUCUUCUAGAUUUAAAAUCAUGAAAUACGAUGGAACGUAAAACAAAGAAAUUAAUUUUAGAAUCGAUAGCACACAUUGGAGAAAGGCUGGAGCAUAUUAUAGAACACAGUCUAGAAGUUAGAAUGUUCUUAGGAAGAGAACACAAUCUAGGAUGCCAAGGAUGUGGAUACAACUAAAAUGGAAAUUUGGUGGAGACUAAGAAGUGGUUGCUCGAAAUUUAGAAGAGACCUGCAGAGAGGAUCCCUGGAAGGAAGCGAGUCAUGGCGCCUGAGUUCCUAAAGGAGCAGAUGCUGGGUACCAGGAGGAUGACUCCCAGGCGGUCGUGGCCCCUUUAACAGGAGACUGACAGACGGUGC
Molecule: long non-coding RNA, 3129 nt
Filed under: Heterocephalus glaber (naked mole-rat)
Lineage: Eukaryota; Metazoa; Chordata; Mammalia; Rodentia; Bathyergidae
Description: lncRNA (ENSHGLG00000040556.1)
Source: RNAcentral